AGGCGUCGCCCCGACGCUCCCGGAGGUGAGCACGGAGACAGGCGUAGAUCGUUACUUGGCUGGAUCAGGCCAGCGCCGAGAAGGUGCCGAUCCCGAAGAUGGUGAGCGCAGUGCAUAAGUGUCGCUGCUGGCCAUCACCGUGUUGCGUUUGCCCAA
This 156-nucleotide small RNA is filed under the name Curtobacterium sp. ER1/6. RNAcentral describes it as "Six3os1 conserved region 6". The record is from RNAcentral. Lineage: Bacteria; Bacillati; Actinomycetota; Actinomycetes; Micrococcales; Microbacteriaceae.